RNAcentral lists this ribosomal RNA (306 nucleotides) under uncultured bacterium. RNAcentral describes it as "partial 16S ribosomal RNA". It matches the Rfam family "Bacterial small subunit ribosomal RNA", at positions 507 to 808 of the family's 1533-position model. The record is from RNAcentral.
GACAGCAGCCGCCGCGGGAAUACGUAGGUCCCGAGCGUUGUCCGGAUUUAUUGGGCGUAAAGGGAGCGCAGGCGGUUUAGUAAGUCUGAAGUUAAAGGCAUUGGCUCAACCAAUGUAUGCUUUGGAAACUGUUAGACUUGAGUGCAGAAGGGGAGAGUGGAAUUCCAUGUGUAGCGGUGAAAUGCGUAGAUAUAUGGAGGAACACCGGUGGCGAAAGCGGCUCUCUGGUCUGUCACUGACGCUGAGGCUCGAAAGCGUGGGUAGCGAACAGGAUUAGAUACCCCAGUAGUCCCUGUCUCUUAUACA